CUCCUGUUAUUUCUUCAGAAGCGGGGUCUUGUUUCCUUUCUGCUAAGUCUUGAUACAGCACCAUGAAAGAAACAGGGACCAUCUGUAUUCUCAGUAUAAAACUUGCUAUGAAGCCAAUAAGAAUACACGAGAAAGACAUUUGGCUAGAAGCGGAGAGAGGAAAUAAUGAAGAAACUGCAGAGCACCACAGUUUUAGCAGUGGAAAAACCUUUUUCAUAAGGUGACCAGAUGAAGAUAAAGGAACACAACUUUUGGCAUCCCACUGUGACAAUUUUCACUUUUGUCUUUUUGUUAUGCCUAAUGCCAGCUAAAACCUAGUGGAAAUAAAACAAUUUAAUAAAAUAUAGAAAAAAGAAAU
RNAcentral lists this long non-coding RNA (358 nucleotides) under Numida meleagris (helmeted guineafowl). RNAcentral describes it as "lncRNA (ENSNMEG00000018648.1)". The record is from RNAcentral. Lineage: Eukaryota; Metazoa; Chordata; Aves; Galliformes; Numididae.